RNAcentral lists this unclassified non-coding RNA (358 nucleotides) under Nocardia rhamnosiphila. RNAcentral describes it as "16S-23S ribosomal RNA intergenic spacer". The record is from RNAcentral. Lineage: Bacteria; Bacillati; Actinomycetota; Actinomycetes; Mycobacteriales; Nocardiaceae.
CUGAGGAGCAUUCUCCACGGACACCCGAACAGUCGGGAUGGUAAACGUCUUGUGGCAGAGCCACUUCGGAAGCGAAUGUCUUUCGGUGGUGCUCAUGGGUGGAACACUGACAUGCGCCGGCGUUGCUUCGGGUCCUUAUGGGUUCGGGGUGCCGGAUUUGAAGUAGUCAACACACUGUUGGGUCCUGAAAGAACAGACGUUCUUUCCAGGCAAAAAAUACGAUCCGCUCGGAUCUCCGUUCAUACCGCGAGGGCUUUGGUUCUCGGCUGGUGCGGGUGCAAGGUUCGGGUGGGUGUGUUGUUUGAGAACUGCACAGUGGACGCGAGCAUCUUUGUUUUGUAAGUUUUUAAGAGCGUAC